Molecule: long non-coding RNA, 3985 nt
Organism: Aedes albopictus (Asian tiger mosquito)
Lineage: Eukaryota; Metazoa; Arthropoda; Insecta; Diptera; Culicidae
Exons: 2
Source: RefSeq, a predicted model, not a curated record
ACCAAAAACUAUGUGUUAUGGUGUUCAAGCUAUUUACCAUUUUUGGAUAACAUCUUGUUAACCCGCUGUUUCAUCUUACCCCACCCGUUUCAACUUGCCCCGGUGUACCUUACGUCAUCUUGAUAUACAUAGCUAUAAUAAAACUUAUCAGGGGCAUAUGUCACAAUAGAUCAAAAAACUGGUCGCAGUAAUGGAAAUACCCGACACGGAAUAAAAAAAAUCUAUUUUUUCUAUGAGCAGGAAUGUCUAAUGUUGUUUUAUAUGACUUUUUUCAGUAACGGGAGGCAUUUAAACCCACCCACCUAUUGUAAAACGUCCAACUAUCCAAACUUUUAGAUGGAUCCGUAAAACUUGAAAAAAUCCGUAAAACUGGAAUAUUUACAGUAUCAUUGUUAUACUGUUAUACUGGGGGACAAUUAUGCAUUUUUUUAGGACGUCGAAAAGGCAUAUCAAAACAAUUGUACAUGUAACAUAUGCUCGAAAUUUGCUUCUUAUUCUGUAGGUUUUGUAACGAAACCCAUGCUUGAAGAUUUUUUUGUCGAAAUUUCGAAAGAUUCGAAGACAUACUUGAUGAAGUUUCAAUAACAAAUUUGGCGAGACAACAGAAGUACUCUUUAGUGAAUUUCUUAUAAAGAUUUUUUACGCUAUCCCGGGAAUUCUUAAGGUGUUAUUAAUGAUGGAGCUAUUGAUGUAAUUCUGGUAAAAUUAUUGAAGCUAGCUCCAAUAUAACCUCAAUUAUAUUUUUACCAAUGGAAAUUUUCUAGUUCGCUAGAACAGGUCUUGAAGCUCCUGGGCAUUUGAGGUGGGGCUAUCCAUAAAGUUCCCAGAGAGCUUAGACAAGGGGGUGUAGUAGGCUAUGCUGGAAGUGACAUUAGUGGGACAGAGAAUAAAACAUCACUUGUGUACUGGACAUCAACCAACAAACAGUGUUUUAUAGAUUAUUACAUUGGCGACGAGAAUAAAGAACCCCGUCGAAGAAUUACCUAGUUGUCCCCUUAUUUGUCUAGGUUGAAAAGGAAAGUAUAUAACAUUUAUUUAAAGGCAAGUUUAACUAAACUAACCAUUUCCAGCAAUCAAAAUCAUUUUGCGAAACCAUUGGCGUGAGCCUCAGCACAUGAAGAUAAAUUACUUGCAAAUUAAUAGCCGCCGGAAAGGAUAAGAACUGGUGCGACAUGGAGUUCCACAUACAAACGGGAAACGCUAUGUUCUGACGUAAAAUUUUGAUGCCAUAGUGGAAAGGAAUAAAUCGAGGAAAAAAAACUAUUAAUCUUGGACAUGGACGGAAGCAACUUCGGAAGCAUGCGUUCAAGCAGGCACACGUUUUGGGUAGAGAAAAAAUUAACAAAAGAUGAUAAGGUAAGAAAUGAUAAGAAAUCUACAGGAAAAGGGAGAAGACAGCUGUUGUGGAGAGCUAAGUAUACAAACAUAUUUUAUUAUUAGUUAUAAAUUAUUUCAAGUAUCUUUUCCAUAUUAUUUAGAUGUCUACAAGAUAUCCGAGCACGACAGAUGACCUUACUGAUGGAAGAUCAAUGGAAUAAUUUCUUUUGGAUUCAACGCACAAGAUCGCAUCAGUACACCGACUGUUAGAAGAUUUGAAUUUAUACUUGGAAUUGGAGAUAAACUACAUUUGUUAACACACAUAAAAUAGGCAGAUUAAUAGUUCAUUAAUCUGGAUUUGUAUGAUCUAUGAAUUGAUAUUGUUAUAGAAUAAGUAUUAGCUAAUUGUGUUUCAGGAAGACAUUUCAAUUUCCUUGAAGGGCUAUACUUAAAACUGUUCAAUUUUUAAUAAACCUAAGGAGAGAUGUAGUAGGCUAUGCUGGAAGUGACAUUAGUGGGACAGAGAAUAAAACAUCACUUGUGUACUGGACAUCAACCAACAAACAGUGUUUUAUAGAUUAUUACAGGGGGUUCAGAGAAUUGUUUCAGGAGAUUUGGGGUGCCUUUUAAGGGAAUUUUGGGGGUUUCAUGGACGUUUCAAGGUGUUUUAAGUGCAAUUCAGGGGAUCUCAGGGGCCUUUAAAAGGCGCUACAAGGGGUUUGAGGGGCGUUUCACGGCAUUGUAGAGUAAUUUCAGAGAAUUUCAGGGGGUUUCAGGAGCAUUUUAAGGCAGAGUUUCUCAUUGCUCAUGUGUACAUAAAUGUGACAGCGAGCCUCCCAUCAAAUUGUCUCCUAGCUCUUCAAAAUCGCUAGGAGGCUCACGAAAAUCUGGUAGGCGCGAGCUAGGUACAUAGCUCCCGGGAGCUCGUCUCAUGUGCUGCGUGAGCUGUUGGUAUCUAAGGCAAAAAACAACUUCUUAGUAACGAAGAACCUCAACGACUUUUUUCCGUACACGACACAAGUGUCUGGUUGGUCUAUGCGAUACGACUAGGGACUAUCAAUUGAAAGGUAAAGGUUUCAAUUUUCGUUCGUUUAGGAAGUUUUUGUCGUGAAAUUUUCUUAUUUAAUCAGCGCAUGAGACGAAGUUCAUGAGACACAUCUUUUGAAUAAUGAGACGCACAAGUUUCAGUCUCAAAAUGUACUGUGCUCCUCGGAGCUUGCUUCAUGGUGGCCACUCAGAGCAGCAAAUUCCCGAGUUUUUCCCGGUUUUCCCGAUAGCUUUUUAAAUUUUUCCCGAUUCUAAAAUAGAAUGAUUUACAGUGAAAAUUAAACGUAACUUACUAAAAAAAAACUUAAGAGAAUUAAUAUUGCAUAUUUUCAAAUCCUUAGAUUUAACAUAGUAUUCAUAUGAACUUGAAAAUAAGUUAUGUGUUGUUUGUCUCGUAUCCAAUGAUGGGCAUUGAAGUUACAUCUUCAUUGAAGAUUUCUUAAAUUCAUAAAUGACUAACUAGUACAAAUUAUGCAGUUGUUUAAGCAAAUAAAAAUAAAAAGGAUAAUCCUGAGGGGGUCGAAAAUCUCAGAGAAUACACUAUGUUUAUAGGAUUUACAAACUUAUUAUUAGUGGAUUUCUUAGUAAUAUUCCAAAAAUCUCUUCUGAAAAAUUCUUGGUAAGUUUGUUUGGGAAACUAAUAUAUAAACUAAUAACAAAAUGCCCAGAAAAAACAUUCUGGAUGAAAUUCUGGUGGAAUAUCUGGAAACAUUACUCGUAAAAGAAUUUUGGAAACGAUUUCUAGGAAAAUCUUCAGUGUAGUAUUUUUGAUGGUCAUUUUUUCAAGAUAUUUUAAUAGAAAACCAGUGGCGAACUUUAUGGUAGCGUAAAUGGCUACUGCAGAAAGACAGGCAGGUUACUUAGGCUGGAAUCGUAAAUUCUGAGAGAUCAAAGAAAUCUUAGCAUCCGUCUAGCAUUCCGUUAUUUCAUCAGCGAUUGCAAUAUGAAGUUCUUAGAGAUCUAAUUUAGAUUCAUUAUUUGGGAAUUAUAUAUUUCCAUAAAUCAUACAACUAUAUUGCUCCAGAUGCUUUUGAAUACUCACUGGAACGCCCGCGAGAAUUUCAAUUGGAAGUUUAACUAGAAACUACGAAUACCCUAAAUUCUCGAGAAUUUGCAGAAACAGGAGUUUCACAAGGGACUUGCUAAAGUUUUACCAAAAAGGGAUUUUCCCGAUACCUUACUCCGGUUUUCUUCGAACAUUUUUAUUCACAAAUUUAAUAAAUGAGUACAUCCAAGAGCUUCGUGAAAAACAACAGAAAUCUUUCAAACAAAAUACAGGUCGGACUCGAUUAUCCGGAGACUCGAUUAUCCGGAAUUCGAUUAUCCGGAAUUUUAGACUCGAUUAUCCGGAGUAUUUUUAUUGUGAUUUUUUUUAUUUCAACGAUAAAAUUUAACAUAACUAAAUAUUAUAACAUUGUUCUGGCACGAUUUUGGAAGCCCCUGAUUCUGUUUUCCUCCAAUUUUGUCGGAAAUUAAAAUGUUUUACACUCAGCAUUAACAUUUUACAUUUCCAGUAUUUUACAGUGUAUUUCAAAUUCAGUUGAUAAUUUUUGGCGUCAUAUACAAAUUACGUAACAAAAUAAUCUCGCGUUAUAUUUGAAAAUGGCCAAACAAUUUUAAG